GGCCAGCCACUAGGCCUCCAGGACAAGUGUGCUCCACAGUAGGCAGUGGCUGGCCAGCCACAAGGUCAGUUAUAGGUUAGGGCGGAGCCCUGCUUGCCAGCAGCUGACCAGCCUCAAGGUCUACAAAGUUUAGGCAGGGCCCCAGCUUGCAGGCCACACAACCAACAGAGUUUAAGCUUGGCCAGGAUUGACCCAGUCCAGGCAUGUCAUUACAGUAGGACAAACCAAGCCUAAGGUCAGACAUCCAAUGCCAAGAAAAUUUCCAUACAUGGGCAGUGGGCUUGUCUUCCAUUUCACUGUUUAUUUUAUUUUAUGCAAUGAAUGAUUGUUUCAAUAUUAAAUCCAUUUUACAGCACACAAACAUCUUGAGAUGUAGUUACAAGGCCUUGAUAAAGUAAAUGACCCUCCUUAUGGAAAUAUGUUCUGUCUUUCUAAUCAUUCAACAUGGCAUCAAAAGGUUCCAAUGUGAGAGGAUUGCACAUGUAAAGAACAGUAAUACCGAUACAAGAUUUCUUAAGGUUACAACUGCAGAUA
This 534-nucleotide unclassified non-coding RNA is filed under the name Hevea brasiliensis (rubber tree). The record is from RNAcentral. Lineage: Eukaryota; Viridiplantae; Streptophyta; Magnoliopsida; Malpighiales; Euphorbiaceae.